UACGAAGGGGGCUAGCGUUGUUCGGAAUCACUGGGCGUAAAGCGCGUGUAGGCGGCCUGUUAAGUCUGAUGUGAAAGCCCGGGGCUCACCCCCGGAAGUGCAUUGGAAACUGCCAGGCUCGAGUCCCGGAGAGGAGGGUGGAAUUCCUGGUGUAGCGGUGAAAUGCGUAGAUAUCAGGAAGAACACCAGUGGCGAAGGCGGCUCACUGGCCCGGUACUGACGCUGAGGCGCGAAAGCGUGGGGAGCAAACAGG
This 253-nucleotide ribosomal RNA is filed under the name uncultured bacterium. RNAcentral describes it as "partial 16S ribosomal RNA". It matches the Rfam family "Bacterial small subunit ribosomal RNA", at positions 524 to 776 of the family's 1533-position model. The record is from RNAcentral.